Small nucleolar RNA from Pomacea canaliculata, 222 nucleotides. RefSeq annotates it as small nucleolar RNA U3. The record is from RefSeq and is a predicted model, not a curated record. NCBI's taxonomy places the organism in Eukaryota, Metazoa, Mollusca, Gastropoda, Architaenioglossa, Ampullariidae. The transcript has a single exon.
AAGAUCAUACUUUUAGGGAUCAUUUCUAAAGGUUGUUCUGCCGAGACGUCAGGUAACUCUGACAGGUCCGCAAACCGCGAGGACGAGACGUAGCCUCCCCUUCUGAGCGCGAAGCGGGUGGAGUGUCAUGGCUGGCUCUAGCUGUAACACUCCACCAUUGAUGACCGUUCCUCUCCUCCCUGUGUGGGGCGAGCUGGAGGAAGGGGCGGCAUUCUGAGCGGU